GAGGACCGGAGUGGACGAACCGCUAGUGUACCUGUUGUGUGGUCGCAUGCAUCGCAGGGUAGCUAUGUUCGGAAGUGAUAAGCCGCUGAACGCAUCUAAGCGCGAAGCACGCUCCAAGAUAAGUAUUCCCUAUGAGCCUCCCGGAAGACGACCGGGUAGAUAGGCGGCAGGUGUACGCAUGGUAACAUGUUUAGCCGAGCCGUACUAAUCAGGCCAUUGGCUUUGUUUA
RNAcentral lists this ribosomal RNA (229 nucleotides) under Balneolaceae bacterium. Its description in RNAcentral is "partial 23S ribosomal RNA". It matches the Rfam family "Bacterial large subunit ribosomal RNA", at positions 2687 to 2925 of the family's 2925-position model. The record is from RNAcentral. Lineage: Bacteria; Pseudomonadati; Balneolota; Balneolia; Balneolales; Balneolaceae.